Molecule: ribosomal RNA, 495 nt
Filed under: uncultured bacterium
Lineage: Bacteria
Description: partial 16S ribosomal RNA
Rfam family: Bacterial small subunit ribosomal RNA
Source: RNAcentral
AUGCACGCUGGCGGCGUGCCUCAUACAUGCCAGUCGCGCGAACAGACGAGGAGCUUGCUCCUCUGACGUUAGCGGCGGACGGGUGAGUAACACGUGGAUAACCUACCUAUAAGACUGGGAUAACUUCGGGAAACCGGAGCUAAUACCGGAUAAUAUAUUGAACCGCAUGGUUCAAUAGUGAAAGACGGUUUUGCUGUCACUUAUAGAUGGAUCCGCGCCGCAUUAGCUAGUUGGUAAGGUAACGGCUUACCAAGGCAACGAUGCGUAGCCGACCUGAGAGGGUGAUCGGCCACACUGGAACUGAGACACGGUCCAGACUCCUACGGGAGGCAGCAGUAGGGAAUCUUCCGCAAUGGGCGAAAGCUUGACGGAGCAACGCCGCGUGAGUGAUGAAGGUCUUCGGAUCGUAAAACUCUGUUAUUAGGGAAGAACAAAUGUGUAAGUAACUAUGCACGUCUUGACGGUACCUAAUCAGAAAGCCACGGCUAACUACGU